CCUUGGUGCUGUGGCUCUUUGUCAGUCACCCAAACCCUUCAGUGAUUUGAUAUGGGAAUAAAUCACAUGGACUCCAUUUUCUUCAUGGAGAAAAGGCCAUUCUUUAUUCACAUAACUCCUUUUUGCACCAUUUUAACCUCGUGAGUGACUCCAGUUGGCUAGCAGCUUUCUUGCUAAUUAGUUUAUUGUUUCCAGUGCUGAAAUCUCUUGAAACUUUCUGUGUGCUAUAAUAGAAGAAGAUUCUCUGCAAUACAUUGAUGUUAUAUCCUGAUUCUUUAUAUAUCCUGGCUCUUCUUUGUGCUCUGUUCUGCACUGCUUGCCUUAGCAAAAAAAGGAAAAUUUCAAGUCUGGUCUCUGCAGCCUUUUCUUCACAAACAAAAAAGAGAUAAUGACGAGGUAAAUCACAGAUGUCAGAUCAUGUCAUUGUGUUACUCUGAGAAGGGAAAUGUGUGUUAACCAGAGAGUUUACAAGUCAUACAAGCUAGAGGACAAUUAAGCAUGAGGAUUGCUAAUCAGGCAUUGAGUAAUAAAGCAAUGAAUGAACUGAAGGAAAUCCAAAGCAUGGGUUGUACACUCAUCUGGAGCUCCCUGGGAACAGGAAUCUGGCACUGACAUCAUUUUGUCCUGUAGAAAGCAAACAUCUGCCUUGCUGGAAUUAAAAAGUAGCACUGCAUGCUGUGGGUAGGACUUAUUUUAAGGAAUAUUAUCCAGAAAAAAGAGUGGAAUUUGUCCUCCUGACUCGAUUGCUCCAGUUUCUCUGGUAAUCCUUGGAAGCAAACAGAUCCUCCAAGGACACAGUGAAAAAUCUCUCUCCACCUGAGAGCCUUCAUUUCAGGAAGGAAAACCUUUGGAAGCUUUUAUAUCUUCCCUCUAACUUUGGCAUAAAUAAUACUCAGAGUUAGGCAGGCUGGUCCUUACUCCCAGUUUACACCCUGGAAUGGGAAUUGCACUCUGUGUUAGCCAGGCUGCCUAAUGCACCUCUGAGGGUGUUCAGCCCCUGCCAGGAGACUGGUGCUGAAAUUCCAGCUGGUUGGACUUUCCUGAUAAACUUCUCACACUGGGAAACUUUGAUAUGUCACAAAUACUCUCAAAGAAUACCAUUAUUAUUAUUACUUUUUUAUUAGCAUUAGCAAUAUUAAUUGUGCUUGCUGCUGGUGGGUUUGUUCUCUAUUACAUCCCAAGGAGAAAGACUGAUUUUAAUUUUUUUUUUUUAUUUAAAAGUGUCUUCUGGAUUUGAAAACUCCUCUCUGCUGUGGUCUCUGUGACUUGCAGCAGAUGGCUGAGGGAUAUUUCCUGCCUAAGGAGGAAUAUUUUGGGAUGGUGAGGUGAGGGGUGUGGCACUGAGCUUUUAAAGAGCUCCAUCAUUUAAUUCAAGGUCCAAGCAUAAAAGUGUUCAGACAUUCUUUUUGAUCUCCUCAGAAGGAAUUUCACUAUAUGAAUGCAAUUCUCAAACAAAAAAAAUCUGCCCAGCGACUUCCAUGGACCUUUCUGAUUUCAGAAUCUUGCUCUACCUUAAAAAUAAUUACAGCUUCUCAUGUCUCCUGCUGAAUUUCCUCCCCAUUCAGCCGAGGUACAGCCAUGGAAGGAGCAAUUAAAGCAAGCUGAGAGGAAGAGCAACGUGGGCUCUGUGUGUGGGAUGGUUUCCAGGUGGGAUGGCUUUCAUAAGUGCCUUAAAAAACAUUCUGCCACAUGGUUCUUUAGAGGCCUCCCCACAGAAGCAGCUCAAUUAUUCAUUCAGAGCAGAAACUGUUUUAUUACAUGUCUUGUAGUUCCAAUGGUUCCACUGAAAUGUGGGACACUCUGCUCUCAACAAGGUUCUGGUAUUUGCAUUUGUACUUGCACUUGUCCUGUGGAGCAGUAAAAGAGUUGCCAACACCA
Passer domesticus (house sparrow) is the source of this 1878-nucleotide long non-coding RNA. RefSeq lists it as uncharacterized. The record is from RefSeq and is a predicted model, not a curated record. NCBI's taxonomy places the organism in Eukaryota, Metazoa, Chordata, Aves, Passeriformes, Passeridae. The transcript is spliced from 2 exons.